This 791-nucleotide ribosomal RNA is filed under the name Glaciecola petra. Its description in RNAcentral is "bacterial SSU rRNA". It matches the Rfam family "Bacterial small subunit ribosomal RNA", at positions 1 to 789 of the family's 1533-position model. Lineage: Bacteria; Pseudomonadati; Pseudomonadota; Gammaproteobacteria; Alteromonadales; Alteromonadaceae. The record is from RNAcentral.
CAAUUGAAGAGUUUGAUCAUGGCUCAGAUUGAACGCUGGCGGCAGGCCUAACACAUGCAAGUCGAACGGUAACAGGAAGUACUUGUACUUUGCUGACGAGUGGCGGACGGGUGAGUAAUACUUAGGGAUCUGCCCUUUGGAGGGGGAUAACCAUUGGAAACGAUGGCUAAUACCGCAUAUAGCCUACGGGCAAAAGGGGGCUUCGGCUCUCGCCAAGGGAGGAACCUAAGCGAGAUUAGCUAGUUGGUGAGGUAAAGGCUCACCAAGGCGACGAUCUCUAGCUGUUCUGAGAGGAAGAUCAGCCACACUGGAACUGAGACACGGUCCAGACUCCUACGGGAGGCAGCAGUGGGGAAUAUUGCACAAUGGGGGCAACCCUGAUGCAGCCAUGCCGCGUGUGUGAAGAAGGCCUUCGGGUUGUAAAGCACUUUCAGUUGUGAGGAAAGGUUUGCGGUUAAUACCCGUAAGCUGUGACGUUAACAACAGAAGAAGCACCGGCUAACUCCGUGCCAGCAGCCGCGGUAAUACGGAGGGUGCAAGCGUUAAUCGGAAUUACUGGGCGUAAAGCGCACGCAGGCGGUUGAUUAAGCUAGAAGUGAAAGCCCCGCGCUCAACGUGGGAAGGCCUUUUAGAACUGGUCGACUAGAGUCUUGGAGAGGGGAGUGGAAUUUCUGGUGUAGCGGUGAAAUGCGUAGAUAUCAGAAGGAACAUCAGUGGCGAAGGCGACUCUCUGGCCAAAGACUGACGCUCAUGUGCGAAAGUGUGGGUAGCGAACAGGAUUAGAUACCCUG